GGCUGUCACCUCUUCUUGCUCCUACUCAGUCCAUCUAGAAAUGGCGGCCUUCUCGGGGCAGGCCUCGACACUGCAGCUAGAUGCCCGACUCCUGUCCCAACUCCAAAUUCUGACCCGAGAUGUCUGCCCCAGCCUGUCAAUACAGGGGCCCCAGGAGCAGCAGCUAUGAUGGUGCCAUCUGGAGAACUAAGAGCCUACGCACCUGACAGUGGUGCCACAUGCAGAGUGGAGAGGAGCAGGAACCUGGACUUAGCACCAGGCGCAGCUGACCAGCACGGAAGGAGAAACCAUCAAACUGCUAAAAGAAGACACUGGAGAGAGUCUUUGGAAUCCUGGGUGGGCAACGAUGACAAACGAGCCAUAAAAAUACUGACAAUAUUCAAUACGGGACUUUACAAAACUUCCGUUCAUCAAAAAGAUUCCAUCAACAGAGUGUGAUUGCAAAGUAGGAAAAGAUAUUUUUGGUACCAGGGAUUGAGGGAUUAAACUCAGUGGCGCUCGACCACUGAGCCACAUCCCCAGCCCUUGUUUGUAUUUUAUUUAGAGACAGGGCCUCACCGAGUUGCUUAGCAGCCUCACUUUUGCUGAGGCUGGCUUUGAACUCAUGAUCCUCCCGUCUCAGCUCUGGGACACACAGGUAUCACCACCACACCCGGCAGGAAAAGAGAUCUCAAUACAAAUAUCCAAAUCAAGACCUGUAUCCUGAAUCUGUCACAGGUUUCUACAGUUUUAGUGUGCUAGGAUUUGAACCUGCCUCCCACAAUGUGUGCACUGGAAACUGUAUCCCCAAUGCAACGGUGUUGGGAAGAGGGCUCAAGGAGAGGAAAUUGGGCCCAUAAGGCUACACCCUCGUGGAUGCAUUAAUCCCCUCAUCAUUGGGACCACACACAUUUGACACAAAAGGACCUUGCAAAGCCCAGGGCAGCAACUGAGUUGUAGCAGGGGUUAAAGGUUUCGGAUCCAUGCUGGCCAGAGGUAGCUUACUUCUCAG
RNAcentral lists this long non-coding RNA (991 nucleotides) under Marmota monax (woodchuck). Lineage: Eukaryota; Metazoa; Chordata; Mammalia; Rodentia; Sciuridae. The record is from RNAcentral.